UACGUAGGGUGCAAGCGUUGUCCGGAAUUACUGGGCGUAAAGCGCGCGUAGGCGGCUUUGCAAGUCGGGUGUGAAAUCCCCAGGCUUAACCUGGGAACUGCAUUCGAGACUGCAUUGCUAGAGUAUGGGAGAGGGAAGUGGAAUUUCCGGUGUAGCGGUGAAAUGCGUAGAUAUCGGAAGGAACAUCAGUGGCGAAAGCGACUUCCUGGACCAAUACUGACGCUCAUGUGCGAAAGCGUGGGGAGCAAGCAGG
RNAcentral lists this ribosomal RNA (253 nucleotides) under uncultured bacterium. RNAcentral describes it as "partial 16S ribosomal RNA". It matches the Rfam family "Bacterial small subunit ribosomal RNA", at positions 524 to 776 of the family's 1533-position model. The record is from RNAcentral.